AACAACAACAACUGCAAUAGUUUCUGCCAGUGCUCAGUCAACUAGCCAUGGUGAACCCUGCCGCCUACCUACAACAGCAACAACUGCUUUCAUCUAGCCCGCUCGCUAUGGCCAAUGCACCUACAUACCUGCAACAACAAUUGUUGCAACAUAUUGUACCAGCUCUGACUCAGCUAGCUAUGGCAAACCCUGCUGUCUACUUGCAACAGCUGCUUCCAUUCAACCAACUGACUGUGUCGAACUCUGCUACGUACCUACAACAUCGACAACACUUACUUAAUCCAUUGGCAGUGGCUAACCCAUUGGUCGUUGCCUUCCAACAGCAGCAACAAUUGCUGCCAUACAACCAGUUCUCUUUGAUGAACCAUGUCUUGUCGAGGCAGCAACCCAUCGUUGGAGGUGCCAUCUUUUAGAUUACAUAUGAGAUGUACUCGAUAAUGGUGCCCUCAUACCGGCAUGUGUUUCCUAGAAGUAAUCAAUAUAUUGAUUGAGAUUUAUCUCGAUAUAUUUCUGAACUAUGUCCAUCAUAUAAAUAAUUGAAAACAUCAAAUCGUAAUUAUAAACUCAUGCUUGGUCAAUACAUAGACAAUGCGAUAUUACUUCAACAUCCCAAUGAUGUCCUAGCCCAACCUCUUGAAUGUUACUGUUUUAACGCGUGAGGGUAUAUUUAUAAGAUAGACGUGACUAUUUGCGCUUUUUUUUAGUACAUACAUAUAUGGUAUGUUGAUUUGAUAUAGUGAUGGACACAUGCUUUGACCAUGAAUAUUUAAAUCAGUUGUACUUGCAUGAAGCAAAACAUAAUAUAAGUUUAGGAGUACACUUAUAACUGUGUCCAAUCAUGCUCACACAAAUUCAUACCACAUUAUAAUUUUUUGGUAAAUAUUCCACACAUGUAUUUUUUACAAGAACCCAAAUAUUGCAGACAAAUGCAGCAUUGUAGACAUGUAGAAUUAUUCGAAGCACGUGAACUUAACAACACCAAGGUCAUUAAGUCAACUGGACCCUAUGAGUAACAAUUUCGAUAUUGCAAACACCAAAUUAUAGAACUUAUUGGCUGAAAAUUUAUGAGCAAUGUGAACUUUAAAUUAUUAUACCAUAAAUAUAUCAAAUAAUUUUUUUUUGAGGAACGUAAAAAUUGCAUGGAAUGGGCUGCCCAACGUGCUAGCUCACUUCUAUGCUAGUUAGCAUUACCAAAGAUGGGAAUGUUGCUGAUGAACGCCAAACCCACUCAAAUAAUAUUUAUAGUUGGGUUGUUUAGUUGUAAAAGUGAAGACCCAAGAUAAAAGUACCAAUUGUCCAAUGACAUUCGAUUAUUUUGUUCGGGGAGCACUUGGUGCGUCAUUUGGACUCGUAUCUUAGUCCAAUAGAUUGCAUUUUCCUUCAAUGUGUAGAAUCCGACAAAGUGCAUGUUCUAAAAUUGUAAAUCUAACUAAAUUAGAAAGCUUGUUACUAAUUUGAUGGUUUAUUAGGUGUAGCUCAUAAAACUAGAACCAACAUAGCCUGCACUCACAUGUCAUAGAAAAUAGGACUAUCCAAGCACAAUUUGUGUGAGCAUCCAUGACACAAAUUAUAUAUAGUCUGAUAUAAUUAAUUCCUUCAAAAUAAAAAAGGAAAAAAUAAAGUGGUUUUUGAUACUGCAGGAUAUCUCCUUUAGCUAAUGAGGAGUACUAAAAAGUUGUUGCACUUUUGGGUGGCGAGAAUUCCUCAAUCAUAACUUUGACAUAAUUUUAAUCCAGAUCACAUAUAUAGCAUCAUAUCUUAAUUAUUAAAUUAUUAUGGUUCCAUCAUCGUAUUAUUAAUUCAAUAUGAUAUAACCAUCAAAUCUUAAUUAUUAAAUUAAUCUGGAGCGUACAUUAGAUUAUCAAACCAAAUCAACCCGACAUAACCAUCGAAUGUUCCGCUAUGCACCUUAAGCACAUGGUCUGGGGCUUAAUCAUCCGGAAUAACCAUCCGAUCUUCUAGUAAGCAUAGUAAGCGUAUGGUUCACGACUUCGUUAUCCGGAAUAACCAUCAGAUUUUCCAGUAUGCACUGAAAGCAAAUGAUCCGGGGUUUUGGUAGGUGAAACAUUGUUAGGUGAAUGCGGAUGCUGGCUGCUGUUGCACGUGUGAACUGCUGUGUGGAAGCUGCUGGGUCCUCCUCUAUUGUGUGUGGUUUGUGGCGGGCUUCGAAUGCUCUCAUGGCUUCGGUGCUUGGAACUGCUCGUACGUCCGGUCCUGCGUGCAUCUCUCUCUCCUGGCUGGAGGCGUGGUGGUGUGGCGGCUUGUCUGUGUUUUUCUUUUUACGGCGGCUUCUCGUGUUGGCUAGUGUUGGCGUCAGGGGCCCGGUCAGCUAUGCUCCCUCAGUUUUAUAGGCAGUGCACCACAGCAGGCAGAGCAGAGAUAAAGAUUCCAACUGCAUCCAUCUACAAACAAGGCUCUCGGCAGAAGGGAUAAAAGCAUGGAGCGCAAUUGUCGCUGCCCUGCUGCAGCCUUGACUCUCGUCAAUUGGAUGACCAAAAGAUGCCACCGUCUAAGCUCUUUUCUAUGUGCAGCUGCCUGUUUGUCACCAACACAAAAUAGUAGGUGCCUGUUUGACACCAAUUAUCCUCUACCACAAAGAACUACAAUAGUGAUGGAGGAUCCGAUCCGGCACAGAUCCACUAUAAUGCAUAUUGGGUGAUGCAUGCCUAAUGGUGGUUGUUUAGUGUUAGUUUGGGCAUGUUGGAACUAAGCAAUUGACGAUGCCAUACACUAGAAGUGAAGAAUGUUGUUAGCGUUAGGAGUUGAGGUGUCAAUGGGGACCAAUACCCGUUAAGCCAUGGAGAAUUUCUCUAUUAGAUUUAGGGUAUGGGAAAAAUUUUAUUUCCAUUUGCUGAUGUUAGGUAUACAUCUAUUUGAAUCAACAGUUACAGUUCAACAGAAACUCCUUCCGCUCUAGUUUGUUUCAUGUCCUAACUUUUUCCUAAACUAGUUUUUCCUAAAUUGACAUACUCUCUACAAAAUCUAUCCAAAUUUUGAAGAUCAAAUCUGUUCCAUUGAAUUAUUCAUGACAUAUAUCUUGGUAUUGCUUUUUGUCAUCAGAAUAUAUUUCGAACUCAGUAAAAGUUAUACACGAUUUUUUAGACAAUACUAAAGCAAGUUGUAAUCAAGAACACUUGAGGUGUGCGCCAAUUGCCACAUUUAGAUAUAAUCAUUCUAAUUUUGGUCAUCCUAUGUGUGUGCAUUCAUCUAUGCAUUCUAGGAUUUCAAUUAGUCUCAAUCUUGUAGUAUUUUUUCCUUCAUUGUCAAAUCACUUCUCAUCUAACUACUAUGCUUGUUUAACCAUUAGAACAUAAGUACAACAAUAUCCAUUUAGAAAGUUUUUGAUAGCAAACUUUACAUAUUCAUAUCAUGUUAAGGUUGUCACAUGUGUAAAGGUGAAGCGAUCAUGCAUGUCAUUCCACAUAGAUUAAAAAAAAUCCUAUAUAAAAAUGACAAUUUUUCUUGUAGGUAGUGGAAAGUAUCUUUCCAGCAAAGACUAUAUAUAUAAUCCGAUAAAGCCGAUAACUAAAUGUCAAAAUCGAGUAGAUGCCAUAUCAUCUAUACCUUAUCUGUUGUUUGGAAAAAAGACAAAAUCCAAAAAAAUAUAUAUGAGAUCUCACUUGUAUAAAUAGCUCCCAAAUCAGUAGUUAAUCCAUCACCUAUAAUAUUUUGAGCAUUCAGAAACACACCUAGGGAAGCGCACUAGCAACGACCUAACAACAAUGGCUACCAAGAUAUUAUCCCUCCUUGCGCUUCUUGCCCUUUUUGUGAGCGCAACAAAUGUGUUCAUUAUUCCACAAUGCUCACUUGCUCCUAGUGCCAUUAUUCCAAAGUUCCUCCCACCAGUUACUUCAAUGGGCUUCGAACACCCAGCUGUGCAAGCCUACAGGCUACAACAAGCGCUUGCGGCGAGCGUCUUACAACAACCAAUUGCCCAAUUACAACAACAAUCCUUGGCACAUCUAACAAUACAAACCAUCGCAACGCAACAGCAACAACAGUUCCUACCAGCACUGAGCCACCUAGCCAUGGUGAACCCUGCCGCCUACUUGCAACAACAACUGCUUGCAUCCAACGCACUUGCUCUGGCAAACGUAGUUGCAAACCAGCAACAACAAUAGCUGCAACUAUUUCUGCCAGCGCUCAGUCAACUAGCCAUGGUGAACCCUGCCGCCUACCUACAACAGCAACAACUGCUUUCAUCUAGCCCGCUUGCUGUGGCCAAUGCACCUACAUACCUACAACAACAAUUGUUGCAACAUAUUGUACCAGCUCUGACUCAGCUAGUUGUGGCAAACCCUGCUGCCUACUUGCAACAGCUGCUUCCAUUCAACCAACUGACUGUGUCGAACUCUGCUGCGUACCUACAACAGCGACAACAGUUACUUAAUCCACUUGCAGUGGCUAACCCAUUGGUCGCUGCCUUCCUACAUGUCACACCCGGUUUUAAAAAGGCAAACCGAAUGCGAACCAUGUACGUGCCAGGAUCAGUUAUUCACGUACACAGCAGUUACAUAAUAUGGACAUCAUCACACAGUGCUCAAAAUAGUAUUAAUAAGGGAAAUAGUAGAUUACAUCAUACGUCUGAGACGUCCAUAUAGUUCUUACAAUAAAUCAAAGUGCGGAAAAGAAACGUAGAUAACGCGGCCUUCACAGGCAGCCGACUGGGGGUUGCCGCUAACCCACACCUAGAACUCGUCGUAAUCUUGGAACUCCUGGAAGUCUCCUUCCACAGCUUCAUCUUCGCCUGAGCAGUGGUUGCAAUGCUGACAACCUGGGGGGGGGGGGGUUUGGUGUGUAGAGCAAGGGUGAGUACACAUCAACAUACUCAGCAAGUAUCCUGUUUGGCUGUAGUGGACUAGCUUUAUGUGGGGAUAAGUCAAGCAGUUGCUUUUAGUUGGUCAGGUUAUUACUUACUAGUAGAAAGCCAAGUUUUAGCAUUAACCCAAGUUAUUAACCCAAUGUAUCCUUUCCAAACGGAAAGAAUACCACUUACCAGCACCAUAACCAUAACCAGAACCAUCAAUCUCAUAACCACCUGUACCACAAUGUCUCUGAUCAAGUACCACUAAUCAUUGGAGCUCCCUUGGCCGCUCAUAACCGCGAGCACGGCUGAUAUAUCAGUUUCAUAACACUCUGCAGAGGUUGUGCACUUUACCCACAAGCCGUGAUUCCCAUUCUGCCCGGAGAUCAUGACUCUCCAUUGAUCACUACCAAGGUGAUCCAGCAGGGCAUCACUACGAAGCCUUUACAAAGAUUCCCCGGGACUGCAGCCACCCGUUAGGUUUCCUAAAUGCACCGCACUCCUCCCCAAGGGGCGAACCCAAACUUGGCAGAGCGAGCCGCAUACACCGAGCCCCAUUGACGGCACGACGGCUAAGUGAACUACACCCCGGAUCCUCUAAUUAUUCAGCUAAGGGCACCCCAUUCCACCCUCAUGGUUGCACUGUUUUCCCGGGCGGUCAUCCAUAGAACAGGUCCUUACGGAGAGGCACUCGAGAAACCGCUCGAGUCCCCUUGAAAACCACAAGUAUAAUCAUAAAGAAGAACGGGAAAACAGCGUAUCAUAGAUAAUCACAUCAUGUUCAUUGAUUAGAGUUGAGCAAUAGCAUCAGACUAAGUAGUAAUAAUCCGACCCAAAUAGGUAAACAAGGACAUGGAUAACAAAAGCUAGUCAAUCCUUAGGUAUAAAUGUGUAAUGCGGGAGGUGAAUUAAAGAAUGAAUAGGACAUAGAUAGGUCAAAGGACACUUGCCUCCACCAAACGACUGCUGCUCAGGGGCUUCUCCUGCGAAUUCCUCGGGCUCUUCGACUGGAUCGUUCUCUAUGCGAGCGCAAACAUACAUACAUACAUCCACAUAUUUAAUACAAAAGAACAGUACACCAUACAAGAUAACAAAUAAAGCGAAUAUGCAUCAAGUAUGACAUUCGAUAACGCAUUUGUUAUGGUCAGAAAGAAACGGGAAAGGUCUCGCAGGGGGGGUUAAAUCUUAUGCACUAACGAUCAAUUACAAUUGGUUUUUAACAAAAUAAUUCUGCUACAUAUACACUAAUGGAAACCUAAUCACUUUUAGUUGAUCAACAUUGCACAGGGUAAACAAUUAACUACGUGCGUCAAUAGCAUAACGGAAUUUUAAAUUAAACUUCCUAUUUUCCCAUAGCAUGAACAGUGAUUAGCCUACUUAAAAUACAGUAAUUAUGAUCACAGAAAGUAAAUAAAAUAAAAUAAAAAAAAAUAAAAAAAAAAACAGAGGGGGGGGCGGUUGAACCGGCCCUAGGGCGGUUGAACCGGCCCUAGGCGGGGCGCGGGCGCGGGCGGCGCAGGGGGCGGCCGAACCGGGGGGCGGGGGGCGGCGCAGGGGGCGGCCGAGCCGGGGGGCGGGGCGGCCGAACCGGCGGGGCAGGGGGGCGGGUAGGGGGCGGCCGAGCCGGGGGGCGGGGCGGCCGAACCGGCGGGCAGGGAGGCGGCCGAACCGGCCAUGGGGAGAGGGGAUGGGGGAGGGAGGAGAGGGGGAGGGGGAAGCUCACCGGCGACGGGGACGGGGCGGCCGAGCGGGGCGGCCGAACGGCGACGGGGAGGGGCGGCGGCCUAGGCAGGGGCGGCGGCUAGGGCAGGGGGCGGGUAGGGGGCGGCGGCUUGGGUGGGGAGGGAGAAAAUGAGGGGGGAGAGGGAGAGGGUUAGGGGAUAAGGGAAAGAGGGGGGGGGCGGCUGGGCCUACUAGGCCCAAGAGGGGGGCGCCAGGGGGCGGCUGGGCCGGCCGGGGUCGGCCCACGGCGCGGGAGAGAGAGAAAAAAAAGGAGAGAGAAAGAGAGAGAGAAAAGAGAAAGAAAAGAGAAAGAAAACAUUUUCGAAAUCCGAUCUUUCUACAUGAAUGCAUUUGCACUUUCAAAGCAAUCAAAAGAAAUGCAAGGUUCGGCAUGGUGCAUCAAACAACAUAAAGUAUUUAGGGUUUUUAUACAUACGGGAAUUCCAAACCGAAUCCCGCUAGAACUUUGGAAAAGGUCAAGGUUUAGCGAGGGAAAAAGAAAAAGAAAAGGUAACGCCCGAAUUUUGGCGAGUAAAGAAAAGAAAAAAAAUUCAACUGCAAAAAUUCGGGGCGUUACAAACCUAUCCCCCUUAAAAGAAUCUCGCCCUCGAGAUUCAGGGCUGGCUAGCAAAGAGCUCCGGGUACUUGGCCUUCAGAUCAUCUUCACGCUCCCAGGUUGCUUCUUCCUCAGAGUGGUGACUCCAUCUGACUUUGCACAUUCUGACGGUCUUCCUUCGGGUGACUCUGUCUGCAAUCUCAAGGAUCUGAGCUGGCUUCUCAACGUAGGUCAAGUCCUCCUGGACUUCCAGACCUUCCACUGGCAACUGCUCUUCCGGCACACGCAAGCACUUCUUCAACUGAGACACAUGAAAGACAUCAUGCACAGCAGACAAAUUCUCUGGCAGACUGAGCUGAUAGGCCACUUCUCCACGUCUUGCAAGAAUCUGAUACGGACCAAUGUAGCGGGGUGCUAGCUUGCCUUUCACUCCGAAUCUUCUGACUCCUCUGAUCGGUGACACUUUCAGAUAGACAAAGUCUCCGACUUCGAAACUCAGCUCUCUUCUUCUUGUGUCUGCAUAGCUUCGCUGCCUUGAUUGCGCUAUCUUCAGAUUCUCUCGGACCAUCUUGACGUUCUCUUCGGCUUCGAGCAAAAUGUCUGGCCCAAACACUUGCUUUUCCCCAGGCUGAUCCCAUUGCAACGGAGUUCUGCAACUCCUUCCAUACAGCGCUUGAAAUGGUGACAUCUUCAAACUGGCCUGGUAACUGUUGUUAUAGGAAAACUCCGCAUAAGGCAAUCGCUUGUCCCAUCCGGACUGAUCUUGCAACGCACAUGCUCUCAACAUAUCUUCAAGAAUUUGAUUGGUUCUUUCGGUCUGGCCAUCUGUCUGCGGGUGGUAAGCUGAACUGAAAUUCAGAUGCGUGCCCAAGGCUUCAUGCAACUGCUGCCAGAAAUGAGAGGUGAACUGCGUUCCUCUGUCUGACACUAUCUUCUUUGGCACACCAUGAAGACAAACGAUCCGAGACAUAUACAAUUCUGCCAAUACUGCACUGUUGUAGUUGGUCUUGACAGGUAUGAAGUGGGCUGACUUGGUCAAGCGGUCCACUACUACCCAAAUGGAAUCGUAGCCGGCUCGAGUGCGAGGCAAUCCGACUAUGAAAUCCAUACCAAUUUCAUCCCAUUUCCACUGAGGGAUCUGCAACGGUUGCAACAAUCCAGCUGGUCUCUGGUGUUCUGCCUUAAUUCUUCGACAACUAUCGCACAUAGCCACAUGCUCUGCGAUUUCCCUUUUCAUUCCGUACCACCAGAAUUUCUUCUUCAGAUCCUGAUACAUCUUCUCACUGCCAGGGUGAAUCGAAUAGGCUGUCUCAUGAGCUUCCUUGAGAAUCAACUCCCGAAUAGACUGGACAUUGGGAACACACAAGCGGUCUUUGAACCAUACCACACCUUCUGCAUCUUCUCGAAAGUCUUUGCCUCUGCCAUCUAGAAUCAAUCGCCGAAUCUCACUGAUCUUCUCAUCAUUUUUCUGCGCUUCUUUGAUUUCGCGCUCCAAGGUAGGUUCCAAUUCAACUGUGACUCCUCGAGAAUUGUUUAGAAAUCCGAGACUCAACCUGUCAAACUCCUUGGCCAACUCAUAAGGCAUCGGACGAGCGACCAUCAGAUUGACUUGACUCUUUCUGCUCAAAGCAUCUGCCACUACGUUUGCUUUGCCUGGAUGGUAAUGAAUCUCCAACUCAUAGUCUUUGAUCAAUUCUAACCAUCUUCGUUGCCUCAUGUUCAAUUCUGAUUGAGUGAAUAUGUACUUCAGACUCUUGUGGUCUGUGUAAACAUCGCAUUUCUGUCCAUACAGAUAGUGCCUCCAUGUCUUCAGUGCGUGAACCACUGCUGCCAACUCUAGAUCAUGGAUGGGGUAGUUCUUCUCAUGAACCUUCAGCUGUCGGGACGAGUAAGCCACAACUCUUCCCUCUUGCAUCAACACACAUCCCAAACCUGUGUAACAAGCAUCACAAUACACCGAGAAGGGCUUGUGCACAUCAGGCAAGACUAGGACAGGCGCUGUUGUCAACUUCUCUUUCAGCGCUUCAAAGGCCUCUUGGCAUUUCUGGGUCCACUUGAACUCAACCUUGUUGCCUAGCAACGCUGUCAUUGGCUUCGCAAUCUUCGAAAACCCUUUAAUGAAUCGCCGAUAAUAUCCGGCCAUUCCAAUGAAGCUCUUGAUUCCUCUAGCAUCUGUUGGUGCUUUCCAGUUCAGAAUGUCUGCCACUUUCUUCGGAUCCACAGUCAAUCCUUCUUUGUUGAUUAUGUGACCCAAGAACAGGACUUCACUGAUCCAGAACUCACACUUGCUCAACUUUGCAUACAACUGGUGCUCUCGCAAUCUCUGCAACACCAUCCUCAAAUGAUCUGCAUGCUCUUCUUCACUUUGAGAAUAAACCAGAAUGUCAUCAAUGAAUACCACCACGAACUUAUCAAGAUAAUCCAUGAAUACACUGUUCAUCAAGUUCAUAAAGAAUGCUGGCGCAUUGGUCAAACCAAAAGACAUCACUGUGAACUCAUAUAAACCAUACUUGGUAAUGAAUGCCGUCUUCGGAAUGUCCGAAGGUCGGAUCCUGAGCUGAUGAUAACCUGACCUCAGAUCGAUCUUGGAGAACACACUGGCUCCUCUCAACUGGUCGAACAGAUCUUCUAUUCUGGGCAAAGGAUACUUGUUCUUGAUCGUGACCUCAUUCAAAGCUCGAUAGUCGAUACACAUCCUCUUGGUACCAUCUUUCUUCUCCACAAACAAGACAGGGGCGGCCCAAGGCGAGGUGCUUGGCCGGAUGUAACCUUUUUCUGACAGCUCAUCAAUCUGCUUCUUAAGCUCAUCCAACUCUGGUCCAGAUAUUCUGUAAGCUCUCUUGAAGAUAGGGGCGGUUCCAGGAAGAAGCUCUAUGGCAAAUUCAACUUUCCGCUCUGGUGGCAUACCCGGUAAAUCCUUUGGAAACACAUCUGGGAAUUCGGACACAACCUUGAUACUCUCAAUCGGGUCUGCUUCACUGCUAUCGACAGUCAUCUGAUAACAACUUCCUUUCUUUGGCUCAGGCGGGACUAACUCAGUCACCACUUCCUCUCCUAGUGGGGACACUAACUUGAUUGUCCUUUUAUCACAACUGAUAACUGCCUGAUACUUAUCUAGCCAAUUCAUCCCUAGGAUGACAUCUAUUCCCUGAGUACCCAUUACUAUAAGGUUGGCGGGAAACGCUAUCCCCCUUAUUUUCACACUUAUAUUCAAACAAAUGCUAUCGGCUCGAAUUCUACCACCGGCUGAAUCAAUUUGAAUGGGGGUUGACAUGGUAGUUAUUGGAAGUUUAUGUGCUUCUACCCAUGAUGCAGUAAUGAAAGAAUGUGUUGCUCCAGUAUCAAAUAACACUUCUGCAAUAUGGGAGUCGACUGGGAACAUACCUACUGUCAUGCCGGGGGUCUCCUGAACUGCUUCAGCUUCCAAGUGGUUCAAUCUUCCAUGAUUAUAGCGCUGCUGAGAGCGAUUGCCUGCUCCAGGCUGAGACACAUUCUGCUUUGCUGGGGCAUUGGGGCCUGACUGCUGCUGGGCUGCCUUCUUUGGACAUUGCAUCACCCAAUGGCCUUGCUCUCCACAGUGGAAACAUGCCCUGUUUCCAACCUGAGCUGGUGCUGCCUGACUGUUCUGCUGAUUUGCUGGGGCAGGAAGACGAGGUGCUUGCUGAUUCUGCCUUUGAAACUGACCUCCUGACUGAUUGCUCUGACGGUUCUGGUACUGAUUCUGAGGGUACUGCCUUUGGAACUGCUGAUACUGCUGACGCUGCUGAUGCUGCUGAGGUGGACGCUGGUUCUGCCUGAACUGCUGAGGUUGAUUGCCUGAAAAGCGAGGGCGACUGCUGCUUCCAGACUGCGGUCCACUGAUCUUGCGCUUACGAUCUUCCAUCUCCUUGCGCUUCCUUUCUGUCAUGAUUGCUCUGUCAAUCAGGUGCUGGAAUGUCGGGAAGGUGUGAUUCAUCAGCUGAUACUGCAGAGGGUCAACCAAGCCUCUCAGGAAACGGUACUGUCGCUUGGCGUCGGUGUUGACAUCUUCAGGAGCAUAGCGAGACAAUUGCAGAAACUUGUCCCGGUACUCACUGACAGACAAUGGCCCUUGCUUAAGGGCCAGGAACUCCUCCUUCUUCACUGUCAUCAGACCUGCAGGCACAUGGUACUGACGAAAGCUACCCCUGAAUUCUUCCCAGGUGAUGGUGUCGGGGUUGGCAUGGGUGGCGAGGUAAGACUCCCACCAUGACUGGGCUGCUCCUCUCAACAGACGGGGACCAUACAGAACUUUCUCCCUGUCAUCGCACUGAGCGGUAUGCAACUCCCGCUCCACAGUGCGCAGCCAAUCUUCAGCAUCCAUGGGGUCAGAAGAGUGAGCGAACGUUGGUGGAUGACCUCUCAUGAAUUCAGCACGCUUAUCUCUAGGCAUCUGAGGCAUCUGAGGCUGGGGUGGUGCUUGCUGCUGUUGCUGCUGCUGCUGCUGCUGAAUGGCGGCCAAAGUCUGACCGAUGGCUUGAACUGCCUGAGUCUGCAUCAGAAACAUCUGCUCAAUCGACAUCGGGGGCGGGGGCGGCAGGUGCUGCUGCUGGGGCACCUCAUCCUGCGGAGCGGCUCGCUCCUGCUGAGCACGCCUUCCUCCUCUACGCCUGUUCUCUGACAUCUGCAGAACGCAACCACACAUCAGAACUGAUCUGGCAAAUCUUGCAGCAUAAGGAAAGAGAAUAGAAUUCUUCAACAGCACUGGGCAGGUGAGCAUCUUCACUGAUCUCCAACACAGACCACACAUCUUCUCAGAUAAAGAGGAAAGGAGAAUAAUGGGUUUCCCAACUAUAUAACUAACUUUAUUGACAUAGUAUGUAAACCAAAAUGCAGGGGAUACCCACACUCUGGUGACAAUCAUUACAAAGAUCCAAACCAAACAUAGUUCAUCAUGACAAGCAUAAAUGCACAGGAUAUAGCAAACUACCCUGUCUAACUAAAACUAACUAAGACCGAGACUAACGCUAAGACUGAAGCUUCUAUGUAUAUAUUUAUUUCGUAUUAAUUACAAGAUCCAGCUCUAACGAUCUAUGGUUCUAGAGUUAUCUUGGUCUUGCAGGCGGGAUUGCCAUAAGACUGGUGUCCACGCUGAGGUGAGCGGUACGGGUGCUGAGUCCCAACGGGAGCGGGGGAACCACCAUCCAGAAAACGACGUUCCGCGCGCUCAGCCCGCAGCAGGGCGAUCUCAGCACGAGCCCUACUCAGCUCGUCUAAUGCAUGGUCCAGCUCCGUGUUUAGCACGGCGGCUAGGUUGACUGUGCUGCUCAACCUAGGAUUGCCCUCACCGACAGGUGAGACAAUCACGCCUCCUGUGCUGCCAGAUGAACGGCGGGGGUAAUACUUCAGGUCAAGACCGUCAGCUGCCCCACCGAAAACCGAGCAGUAGUGCGAAAGCGCACGCCGUGCAGCAUCUUGCAUGGCUGCCUCAGCUGAGUCCCGCUCAGAGAUAGAAUAGUACUCUGAACAGGCCUCUGCACCCUGGAGACUGUCCUCCGGGCAGCGCACCAAGCAAGUCGCCUCCCAGCGGUCCGGGUAGACCCCGCGACUAUGCUGGUAGACCACACAGCGAUACUCGACGGACCAAGUAUGCCGGUCAAAUGCCCGACGUAGCAGGGUGUCGAGCGCAUCAUGGAAGUGACACCCGCGAGCAGCGUCGCGAGUGAUGGGUCGAGCAACCCAUCCUUCCGGCUCAGGAUUAGCAGAGAAGUCGGUGUCGUGGCUCGAGCUGUCGUCGCCAUCUCCGUCGUCUGGGUCUCCUCCAGCAGCUACUCCAGAAGCUGGGGCGCCCAGUGGUGGUGCAGGGGGCGGCUCCAGAGAAAGCACAGGGGAGCAGCUCCUCACAGACUCUAUCUCCUGGUGGAGCGAGAGGGAAGAGCUCCGCUGCUCCUGUCGUCGACGCUCCUGCUCCUCACGCAGGCGGUGGUGUAGUCUCUCCAAGUGGCUGGACUGUCCGGCCACGGGACGGCGAAGCGGACGCUCAGCAAGGCGGGAGGGUAAGAAGGGGAUGACUGACUUUCGUGCAGUGUGUCUAAGUCGAGCCAUCUACAAAAGACAUCGCAAGCAAAAGGGUGAGAACAGAAUUAAUAUGACCAGCAAGUAAUAAGUAAAUGAAGGAUCAGAAUAAAACAUAAUUUUCAGCAAGGUAUAAUAUGUAGUAGAACAUAGGUUUGGUCAGUAGGACCAACUUUUGAAGGGAUAUCAAAGUCAAGGAAGAGACAGAGGUCUAUAGUCCUUAGAACGACCAUUCUACUCUAGGUUAGCGGUCCUACAGUCAGCACGGCUCUGAUACCACUUAUGUCACACCCGGUUUUAAAAAGGCAAACCGAAUGCGAACCAUGUACGUGCCAGGAUCAGUUAUUCACGUACACAGCAGUUACAUAAUAUGGACAUCAUCACACAGUGCUCAAAAUAGUAUUAAUAAGGGAAAUAGUAGAUUACAUCAUACGUCUGAGACGUCCAUAUAGUUCUUACAAUAAAUCAAAGUGCGGAAAAGAAACGUAGAUAACGCGGCCUUCACAGGCAGCCGACUGGGGGUUGCCGCUAACCCACACCUAGAACUCGUCGUAAUCUUGGAACUCCUGGAAGUCUCCUUCCACAGCUUCAUCUUCGCCUGAGCAGUGGUUGCAAUGCUGACAACCUGGGGGGGGGGUUUGGUGUGUAGAGCAAGGGUGAGUACACAUCAACAUACUCAGCAAGUAUCCUGUUUGGCUGUAGUGGACUAGCUUUAUGUGGGGAUAAGUCAAGCAGUUGCUUUUAGUUGGUCAGGUUAUUACUUACUAGUAGAAAGCCAAGUUUUAGCAUUAACCCAAGUUAUUAACCCAAUGUAUCCUUUCCAAACGGAAAGAAUACCACUUACCAGCACCAUAACCAUAACCAGAACCAUCAAUCUCAUAACCACCUGUACCACAAUGUCUCUGAUCAAGUACCACUAAUCAUUGGAGCUCCCUUGGCCGCUCAUAACCGCGAGCACGGCUGAUAUAUCAGUUUCAUAACACUCUGCAGAGGUUGUGCACUUUACCCACAAGCCGUGAUUCCCAUUCUGCCCGGAGAUCAUGACUCUCCAUUGAUCACUACCAAGGUGAUCCAGCAGGGCAUCACUACGAAGCCUUUACAAAGAUUCCCCGGGACUGCAGCCACCCGUUAGGUUUCCUAAAUGCACCGCACUCCUCCCCAAGGGGCGAACCCAAACUUGGCAGAGCGAGCCGCAUACACCGAGCCCCAUUGACGGCACGACGGCUAAGUGAACUACACCCCGGAUCCUCUAAUUAUUCAGCUAAGGGCACCCCAUUCCACCCUCAUGGUUGCACUGUUUUCCCGGGCGGUCAUCCAUAGAACAGGUCCUUACGGAGAGGCACUCGAGAAACCGCUCGAGUCCCCUUGAAAACCACAAGUAUAAUCAUAAAGAAGAACGGGAAAACAGCGUAUCAUAGAUAAUCACAUCAUGUUCAUUGAUUAGAGUUGAGCAAUAGCAUCAGACUAAGUAGUAAUAAUCCGACCCAAAUAGGUAAACAAGGACAUGGAUAACAAAAGCUAGUCAAUCCUUAGGUAUAAAUGUGUAAUGCGGGAGGUGAAUUAAAGAAUGAAUAGGACAUAGAUAGGUCAAAGGACACUUGCCUCCACCAAACGACUGCUGCUCAGGGGCUUCUCCUGCGAAUUCCUCGGGCUCUUCGACUGGAUCGUUCUCUAUGCGAGCGCAAACAUACAUACAUACAUCCACAUAUUUAAUACAAAAGAACAGUACACCAUACAAGAUAACAAAUAAAGCGAAUAUGCAUCAAGUAUGACAUUCGAUAACGCAUUUGUUAUGGUCAGAAAGAAACGGGAAAGGUCUCGCAGGGGGGGUUAAAUCUUAUGCACUAACGAUCAAUUACAAUUGGUUUUUAACAAAAUAAUUCUGCUACAUAUACACUAAUGGAAACCUAAUCACUUUUAGUUGAUCAACAUUGCACAGGGUAAACAAUUAACUACGUGCGUCAAUAGCAUAACAGAAUUUUAAAUUAAACUUCCUAUUUUCCCAUAGCAUGAACAGUGAUUAGCCUACUUAAAAUACAGUAAUUAUGAUCACAGAAAGUAAAUAAAAUAAAAUAAAAAAAAAUAAAAAAAAAACAGAGGGGGGGGCGGUUGAACCGGCCCUAGGGCGGUUGAACCGGCCCUAGGCGGGGCGCGGGCGCGGGCGGCGCAGGGGGCGGCCGAACCGGGGGCGGGGGCGGCGCAGGGGGCGGCCGAGCCGGGGGGCGGGGCGGCCGAACCGGCGGGGCAGGGGGGCGGGUAGGGGGCGGCCGAGCCGGGGGGCGGGGCGGCCGAACCGGCGGGCAGGGAGGCGGCCGAACCGGCCAUGGGGAGAGGGGAUGGGGGAGGGAGGAGAGGGGGAGGGGGAAGCUCACCGGCGACGGGGACGGGGCGGCCGAGCGGGGCGGCCGAACGGCGACGGGGAGGGGCGGCGGCCUAGGCAGGGGCGGCGGCUAGGGCAGGGGGCGGGUAGGGGGCGGCGGCUUGGGUGGGGAGGGAGAAAAUGAGGGGGGAGAGGGAGAGGGUUAGGGGAUAAGGGAAAGAGGGGGGGGGCGGCUGGGCCUACUAGGCCCAAGAGGGGGGCGCCAGGGGGCGGCUGGGCCGGCCGGGGUCGGCCCACGGCGCGGGAGAGAGAGAAAAAAAAGGAGAGAGAAAGAGAGAGAGAAAAGAGAAAGAAAAGAGAAAGAAAACAUUUUCGAAAUCCGAUCUUUCUACAUGAAUGCAUUUGCACUUUCAAAGCAAUCAAAAGAAAUGCAAGGUUCGGCAUGGUGCAUCAAACAACAUAAAGUAUUUAGGGUUUUUAUACAUACGGGAAUUCCAAACCGAAUCCCGCUAGAACUUUGGAAAAGGUCAAGGUUUAGCGAGGGAAAAAGAAAAAGAAAAGGUAACGCCCGAAUUUUGGCGAGUAAAGAAAAGAAAAAAAAUUCAACUGCAAAAAUUCGGGGCGUUACACUACAGCAGCAACAAUUGUUGCCAUACAACCAGUUCUCUUUGAUGAACCCUGUCUUGUCGAGGCAGCAACCCAUCGUUGGAGGUGCCAUCUUUUAGAUAACAUAUGAGAUGUACUCGAUAAUGGUGCCCUCAUACCGGCAUGUGUUUCCUAGAAAUAACCAAUAUAUUGAUUGAGAUUUAUCUCGAUAUAUUUCUGAACUAUGUCCAUCAUAUAAAUAAUUGAAAACAUCAAAUCGUAAUUAUAAACUCAUGCUUGGCCAAUACAUAGACAAUGCGAUAUUACUUCAACAUCCCAAUGAUGUCCUAGCCCAACCUCUUGAAUGUUAGUGUUUUAAUGUGUGAGGGUAUAUUUAUAAGAUAGACGUGACUAUUUGCGCUUUUUCAGUACAUACACAUAUGGUAUGUUGAUUUGAUAUAGUGAUGGACACAUGCUUUGACCAUGAAUAUUCAAAUCAGUUGUACUUGCACGAAGCAAAACAUAAUAUAAGUUUAGGAGUACACUUAUAACUGUAUCCAAUCAUGCUCACACAAAUUCAUACCACAUUAUAAUUUUUUGGUAAAUAUUCCACACAUGUACUUUUUACAAGAACCCAAAUUUUGCAAACAAAUGUAGCAUUGUAGACAUGUAGAAUUCUUUGAAGCACGUGAACUUAACAACAUCAAGGUCAUUAAAUCAACUAGACCCUAUGAGUAACAAUUUCGAUAUUGCAAACACCAAAUUAUAGAACUUAUUGGCUGAAAAAUUAUGAGCAAUGUGAACUUUAAAUUAUUAUACCAUAAAUAUAUCAAAGAAUUUUUUUAGGAACGUAAAAAUUGCAUGGAAUGGGCUGCCCAACGUGCUAGCUCACUUCUAUGCUAGGCAGCAUUACCAAAGAUGGGAAUGUUGCUGAUGAACGCCAAACCCACUCAAAUAAUAUUUAUAUUUGGGUUGUUUAGUUGUAAAAGUGAAGACCCAAGAUAAAAGUACCAAUUGUCCAAUGACAUUCGAUUAUUUUGUUCGGGGAGCACUUGGUGCGUCAUUUGUACUCGUAUCUUAGUCCAAUAGAUUGUAUUUUCCUUCAAUGUGUAGAAUCCGACAAAGUGCAUGUUCUAAAAUUGUAAAUCUAACUAAAUUAGAAAGCUUGUUACUAAUUUGAUGGUUUAUUAGGUGUAGCUCAUAAAACUAGAACCAACAUAGCCUGCACUCACAUGUCAUAGAAAAUAGGAGUAUCCAAGCACAAUUUGUGUGAGCAUCCAUGACACAAAUUAUAUAUAGAGUGAUAUAAUUAAUUCCUUCAAAAUAAAAAAAGGAAAAAAUAAAGUGUUUUUUGAUACUGCAGGAUAUCUCUUUUAGCUAAUGAGGAGUACUAAAAAGUUGUUGCACUUUUGGGUGGCGAGAAUUCCUCAAUCAUAACUUUGACAUAAUUUUAAUCCAGAUCACAUAUAUAGCAUCAUAUCUUAAUUAUUAAAUUAAUAUGGUUCCAUCAUCGUAUUAUUAAUUCAAUCUGAUAUAACCAUCAAAUCUUAAUUAUUAAAUUAAUCUGGAGCAUACAUUAGAUUAUCAAACCAAAUCAACCCGACAUAACCAUCGAAUGUUUCGCUAUGCGCCUUAAGCGCAUGGUCUCAGGCUUAAUCAUCCGGAAUAACCAUUCGAUCUUCUGGUAAGCAUAGUAAGCGUAUGGUUCAUGGCUUCGUCAUCCGGAAUAACCAUCAUAUUUUCCGGUAUGCACUGAAAGCAAAUGAUCCGGGGUUUUGGUAGGUGAAACGUUGUUAGGUGAAUGCGGAUCCUGGCUGCUGUUGCACGUGUGAACUGCUGUGUGGAAGCUGCUGGGUCCUCCUCUAUUUUGCGUGGUUUGUGGCAGGCUUGGAAUUCUCUCAUGGCUUCGGUGCUUGGAACUGCUCGUACGUCCGGUCCUGCGUGCAUCUCUCUCUCUCUCCUGGCUGGAGGUGUGGUGGUCUGGCGGCUUGUCUGUGUUUUUCUUUUUACGACGGCUUCUCGUGUUGGCUAGGGUUGGCGUCAGGGGCCCGGUCAGCUAUGCUCCCUCUGCUUUUAUAGGCAGUGCACCACAGCAGGCAGAGCAGAGAUAAAGAUUCCAACUGCAUCCAUCUACAAACAAGGCUCUCGGUGGAAGGGAUAAAAGCAUGCAUCGCAAUUGCCGCUGCCCUGCUUUAGCCUUGAGUCUCGUCAAUUGGAUGACCAAAAGAUGUCACCGUCUAAGCUCUUUUCUUUGUGCAGCUGCCUGUUUGUCACCAACACAAAAUUGUAGGUGCAUGUUUGACACCAAUUAUCCUCUACCACAAAGAACUACAAUAGUGAUGGAGGAUCUGAUCCGGCACUGAUCCACUAUAAUGCAUAGUGGGUGAUGCAUGUCUAAUGGUGGUUGUUUAGUGUUAGUUUGGGCAUGUUGGAACUAAGCAAUUGUCGAUGCCAUACACUAGAUGUGAAGAAUGUUGUUAGCGUUAGGAGUAGAGGUGUCAAUGGGGACCGAUACCCGUUAAGCCAUGGAGAAUUUCUCUAUUAGAUUUAGGGUAUGGGAAAUUUUUUAUUUCCAUUUGCUGAAGUUAGGUAUACAUCUAUUUGAAUCAAUAGUUACAGUUCAACAGAAACUCCUUCCGCUCUAGUUUGUUUCAUGUCCUACCUUUUUCCUAAACUAGUGUUUCCUAAAUUGACAUACUCUCUAGAAAAUCUAUCCAAAUUUUGAAGAUCAAAUAUGUUCCAUUGAAUUAUUCAUGACAUAUAUCUUGGUAUUGCUUUUUGUCAUCAGAAUAUAUUUUGAACUCAGUAAAAGUUAUACACGAUUUUUUUAGACAAUACUAAAGCAAGUUGUAUCAAGAACACUGGAGGUGUGCGCCAAUUGCCACAUUUAGAUAUAAUCAUUCUAAUUUUGGUCAUCCUAUGUGUGUGCAUUCAUCUAUGCAUUCUAGGAUUUCAAUUAGUCUCAAUCUUGUAGUAUUUGUUCCUUCAUUGUCAAAUCACUUCUCAUCUAACUACUAUGCUUGUUUAACCAUCAGAACAUAACUACAACAAUAUCCAUUUAUAAAGGUUUUGAUAGCAAACUUUACAUAUUCAUAUCAUGUUAAGGUUGUCACAUGUGUAAAGGUGAAGAGAUCAUGCAUGUCAUUCCACGUAGAUGAAAAGAAUUCCUAUAUAAAAUGACACCUUUUCUUGUAGGUAGUGGAAAGUAUCUUUCCAGCAAAGACCAUAUAAUCCGAUAAAGUUGAUAACUAAAUGUCAAAAUAGAGUAGAUGCCAUAUCAUAUAUACCUUAUCUGUUGUUUGGAAAAAAAAGACUAAAUCCCAAAAAUAUAUAUGAGAUCUCACUUGUAUAAAUAGCUCCCAAAUUAGUAGUUAACCAUCACCCAUAAUAUUUUGAACAUUCAGAAACACACCUAGCGAAGCGCACUAGCAACGACCUAACAACAAUGGCUACCAAGAUAUUAUCCCUCCUUGCGCUUCUUGCCCUUUUUGUGAGCGCAACAAAUGCGUUCAUUAUUCCACAAUAUUAGUUAUACUCUUAAUGUCACGAUGUAUAUGUUUGAUUAAAUUGUUUAAUAGAUAUAAUCAAAGAUAAAUAACUUGCAUGGCUCCGUAGGAUAUUAUGUGUAUCUUGUUCAUGAUCACUAAUGGUCCUCAUAGGCACCAUUUGAUUUGCUGCUCCCAUUGUCUCAAUUUCCAUUGUAUUGUCAUCGUUGACCCCCGACGCUCGAAAUUCUGCAGGUGGUGUUACAAUAUGUCUCCGUGGACUCGUAGCACAGUUUGGAGAUUUAAGUCUUAGGGUGAGCGCUGUUGGUAGACCACUGUAUGUGUCUGCACGACGGCCACCAUAUUUGACUUUUUAUUUUAUAAACCGAUGUAUUUAUACAAAUAUUAAUGUACCUGAUGCAGCUCUGUGCAUGAUGCAGAAGAAACAUCACCAGUUUCUUCUUCUCCACCGUCAACCAUGGGUCAACAAUGCAGCGACGCCGCCAGUUCCCUUUCUUAUAUGCACCGCUCUGUCUAGUCUCGGGUAGCCAUGUUUACGCUAUUUUUUGUGGUCAUUUACGGUCUAUAAAGUUUGUUCCUGCAUGCAUGGAGAUAUUAUCGGAGACGUGACAACUACCCGAUAGAUUUUAUCUCGGUUUGUUGAAACAAUUUUGUAUUUACUCAACUAAAUGAAACCAGUUACGCAAUUUUCUGUAUAUAUUUAUGCCUGAGUUUCUGCUUACGUGCAUGCCAUGCAAUAUUCUCGGGAACUACCAAUUAUGGUUUGUGAUUUUAUCGCGUAUUCCGUUUAUGCUAAUAUUCAAACACGUUUACAUUUUGUUUGUUAAUGUUUAUGCUUUGGUUCGACCAACCAGAAAACCGCACAGAGAAACUUGGGCGCUGCCCGGAUCGAACAAAUUGGCUGGGGCUUCCCGAUACUAAUGGAAGCCCUAGGCUUCCAUUAGUUCGUCCAUAUAUAUAUAUAUAUAUAUAUAUAUAUAUAUAUAUAUAUAUAUAUAUAUAUAUAUAUAUAUAUAUAUAUAUAUAUAUAUAUAGUUUAUCUAUUUGGAGCCCUGGGCUUCCAAAAAAACAAGGAAGCCCUGAUCCAAAAAGUCUAUUCCGGUUCAGUGCAACCACAACCGGCCAACCCAACCACAAUCCCCCACGCUUGCGCGUACAUUUCAUUUUUUCCAUCAAUUCAGCCGAAACCGCCACCUUAAAUUAGGAUAUAUUAUUUUCCCCCAAAACAAACCCUAACCGGUCGGCCCAAUUCUCACGCGCUCGCCACAGAUCUAGCCCUGCCUACAGCGCUCUCGCUGCUGCACGUCCCGUUCACGUCGUCGUCCGCCCCUGGCCCUUGCCUCACCGACUCGUGGCCGUCGGCAGCUCCACGUGGGACACGGCCACGCCUGACGCCUCCACCUCCACGACUCAGCUGACGGCUCCUCUCCAUGGGACGGUGCAUGACGACGCCAUGGCGGUUCACCGGCUCCAACCUUCCCCCUCCGGCCUACAGUCCUCCACCGUCCGGUCGCCAGUGGUCCUCCAUGGGCCAUGGCUGACGGGUGCACGCACCGGUAUUCAUCCCUUGCUGCUCUAUUCCCAAUGCUCUAGCUCGUGUACUAGUUGUGCAGCCUGUCGCCUAGCCCUGCUCCGGCGUGAAGUCCUGAUGCUUCUAGUUGUUUUUGUCUUAAAUAAAGAUGCUAGUAUGCAUGUGGCUAUGUGAGGUCUAUUGCAUCCGAUUUAGUGCUGCACAUUUAAGUAAUCUUGAUGAUUGAUUCAAGCAAUUUUUUACUUGGCCUUUAUAUUCUAGAUUAUUGUAACCGGUUGAAACUAAGAGAUACAUGAUGAUUUUCUAAAUCAUAAAUAUAUUUAUAUUGCAUAAUCUUCUACCUAAGGCCUUAGUGCCUAUCCUUAACAAAUAUUUUUUUAUACUUGAUUCUACUGUGUAGGUAUGACAGGUCGUUCAACGAGCACCUCAUUAUCCAGAGUCUCACAAUUUAAAUUGUUUGAUUUCUAAAGUCCAAUUAUAUUUCUAGUCAGCAAUCACAUAUUAACUACACAAGCAAAGUGCAGAGAUAUAUUAUGUUCCUUUUUGAAACAAGUUAUUUCUUACAAUACCAUUUUCAUUGUGUUCUUUUCAUUGUAUUUUUCCUUCAUCUAUCAUGUCACGUUGUGGUUGUGGACCUGGCUAGCUUCAAUCAUGCUUUUCCUUUUUCAGUUUCGCCUUUUCCAGUGGUAAUACUUGACAGAGAAAUCCUGAACCAAGCGCAAACCUUCUGCAAGACCUGGUAACUUAUUUUAGGGGCUAGAAAUAGGCGACGACAGUUCAGGCCUUGUUUUUUACACCAAUCCAACCCUGGAUUAGCAAUGAUUUUUAUGCAGCUCUUGUUUGUUACGACUACUCAUGGCACCAUUUAUGCAUACAUCUGAACUAUUUAUGCUGUUGAUAUGUUUCUAGUGUGGCAAUGAUUUUUUUACAUAUAGAUGCUUACCAAAAGUUCAAAAUCUUUCCGGUCGGUAGCAGUAGAAGCAGCACACCCAAUUUGUCAUACACUCUGUAAUUUUUAUUUCCUAAAUAUGUCUUUUUAUGCUAAUUUGAAUACGCUAUUACGCCCAAUUACUAGAUCGCGCGUAUGCUCCAUUUUGUAAACACGUAGACCACCAAAUUGUACAUUUUUUAUGUUCUUUUUAUGCUUUUAUUCUGAGUUGAAUUGGUCCUCACAUGAUCAUGCAUCAAUACCCAAUGGUUCAGACUCAUCUAAUGCUUCUGCUUCCUUACAUGAACAUGCAUUAGCACAUCAGUCAUCUAGCGCUACUUACUAUAACAAGCACACAUUAUCCACCGAUAUGAUUCUUAUUCCUGCUAAUUUUAAUGUGUUAUUAUGCUCAAUUAUCAGAUCUCGUGUACGCUCCGCAUUGUAAACACGUAGACCAAUUCUCCUACAUUGUUUUUGUUCUUCCUUUUAUGCUUUUACGAUGAUUUGAAUUGGUCCUUUUCAGAACAAUGCACCCCCAGUACGUAGUCCACUCUAGAGCAGUAUACGACAGAUACGCCCAGUACCUCCAGUAAGUAUAUGCUCUUUAUUUUUGUGAUCUACUGCCCAAGUAUCCAGAAGGCAAACUAGAUUUUGAUGUCUGCAUAUUAAAAUUGCCGAUAUCAAAUAAAUCGUCCAUGAGUUGUCCUAGAGUUUCUAGUGUGAAGGAUAUGCAUUGAAUCAGUUUUAUAUGUUUUCGGAAUGAUGGACAAGGUACAACAUGAUAGGAGAAUUUUUUUACACCCUAGUUAUCUUGUUUUAAUUCACCCUUUUUGCGCUCCAAUUAUUUUGGUGAAUCUUAGCAUAGAACUUGACCUUAUAUUAUUUUGUAUGUUUGGUUUGCAUGGGAUAUAUUUAUGAACAUUGAUAUCGUUUUUAUGCUUACUGACAGAAUGCAUAUGGCCUGAAAAUGGAGAAUUGAGGUAUAAAAUAUCGGCUCUUCACUGUCAUAUGCAUUCAUUAGCUUUUUGGUGAUUGGCUCAAUUUAAUGGUUGGUGCACUCAUGCAAUUUUGAACUAAAACAACAACUUGUUUGCACUAUCCAUGCAUAUUGAUAUUGCUAUUGUAGCAACUGCUAUAAAUAACUGUGGCACCAUUUAUGCAUACACUCCACUAUAUAUGUGUUUUGAUUUGUUAUGAUCAGAAAUUCCAUUAUUAACGACUGAAUUUUGGUGUGCUGAUGCUAUAACCUGUGACAUCCAGCUAUUUUCUUGAUUUGUUACAUCUUUUUGUCAAUCUUAAUCUUAUUUUAUUUGAUUUAUUGCAUCAUCCAUUUGAAUAUAGACAUAAAAACCAAGAGCUAAAAUGAAUACUAUUUCCAGUUCUAGGCGGCAUUAUAAAUUCUAUUUUUUUCUUAUAAUGAUGUGAAUCUUGAUGGUUUAAUACUAUUGUUUUAGGACAAUUAUUAUGGUUUCAUACUAUUUCCAGUUCUUUAGUCAUGGAUUUUUUUUCAGAAGUUGAUGAACUCUACCUUCGCAGGAUCUAGUUCCUUGAAUCUUACUGUCUUUUGAGUUUGAGCAUAUACUGAUGUGGAGAGGAAGUGAUUGGAAAUCAUCUCUUCCUCCAUUAGAAAAUAGUUAUGAAGUGACAAAGGUGCAAGAAAGUUUUAGUGGCAAAGAAUCUAAUGAAAAGGUUACACAUUCAGGAAAUGUUCUGAUCCAGAUUUAGUUGGUCAGUGUUGCAACAUCUCACAAGAACUGGAACUUGGAUGAAGGUCAAGAAAAAUUUAAAGAUUCCACUGACAGUGAUAUGGUACUGAAUUCUGCAAAGGAUGUUCCUGCAUUGUUCCAUUCUACAGGUAUAUCUAGAACUGAACCCUCAGCAGACAUUGCAUUGGAAUAUUCCCCAUUAAAUCCAGUAUGUGAUAUUAUGGAUCCAUCCCUGAACUGCCGAAGUAUCCCAACAAACAAAUGUGAAAGUAGAGCUCUGGUAGAGAAGUCAGAACAUUGUCCGAAUGAUUAUAAUUUGGAAAUGAAGGGGAAAAGAAACGAUGGUACAAAAUGUACAGUUGUUCUAAAUAGCGGUUCUAAAGUAGAGGGAUUGUUAUGUCUUUUGGAGCAAGCCAUUCACAGUGGCAGGGCACUUGUUCUGAGUGAAGAUGAACUUGCUGAUUCAGAUCUGGUCUAUGAAAAGUCUGUUGCUUUUAGAAAGUCAAUUCUGCGAAGACUGGUUUUUGAGAAUACUCGAAGGAAGUCCAGUGCCAGGAGAAAUGUGCCAGACAAUCAUGCAAGAACUAAAACACAUAUUAUAGCAAAUAAAAUGUUGAGCAGUCCUGUUGAAAAUAAAUUUAUCGUUAAUGGAGGAUCUGCAAUGCAGACAAUUGACCAUGGACAAGAGUGUCUUUCUGGUGUUGUUCAUCAAGGUACCUUAAGAGUAGAUGAACUAGCAAAGUUACUAGCUUGAGAGGUGAUUGCUCUUUUAUCAACCACAUAGACCAGUAUCAACAUCCUUUGAAACAUAUGCAAGAUUUGCAUGAACUCUGAAUUUGGUUAAAACAAGUCUCAGGUCUGUUGCGUCGUGGCGAGUCCUUUUUAACCUUGAAAUAUUGAACUAUAAUCAUGUGCGAUGUACAAACAACCUUCCGAAUACAUAUUCUCUGAUUUGUCUGUUGUCACCAUAAUUGGCCACUGAUAAAUAACCCUUCUGUUUUAUGUGACAAAAAAUGGUCCACACGAUGCGUUUUACGUUCAAAAACUUCUACGCGACAUGCACGGAAACUAACGCUAAACAUGCGUGAUUUAAACGUCGUAAUUCGUUACGAAACAGAUCAACGAUUUAUGCUAAAAUUCACACCCAUUUACGCUAUUUUGGAUCAUAUUUUACGCAAAAAUCCGCCCGAGCCAGAACCCGCGCAUGAUCCGACGCGCGCGAUUUUUACGCCGUAAUUUUUGGGCCACAUUCGUCGUUAUGAAACUAAGUUACGAUUUACGCUAAAAUUUUUACCCAUUUACGUUGUUUUGGUUAACGUUUUACGCAAAAAUCCAUCCAAGCCAGAACCCGCGCAUGAUCGGACGCGCGCAAUUUUUACGCCGUAAUUUUUGGGCCCUAUUCGUCGUUACAAAACAGAUCUAUGAUUUACGCUAAAAUUCAUAACCAUUUACGCUGUUUUGGUUCACGUUUUACGCAAAAAUUCGCCCAAUCCAGAUUCCGCGCACGAUCGGAAGCGCGCGAUUUUUACACCGUAAUAUUUGGGCCCAUUCGUUGUUAUGAAAUAGAUCUACGAUUUACGCUAAAAUUCGUACUCAUUUACGCUGGUUUGGUUCACGUUUUACGCUAAAAUCUGCCUGAGACAGAACCGUGCACGAUCGGAUGCACGCCUACCUGCGCGUAGGUAUACCUGGCUGGGGCUUCUCGGUACUAAUGGAAGCCCUGGGCUUCCAUUAGCUCGUGUAUAUAUAUAUAUAUAUAUAUAUAUAUAUAUAUAUAUAUAUAUAUAUAUAUAUAUAUAUAUAUAUAUAUAUAUAUAUAUAUAUAUAUAUAUAUAUAUAUAUAUAUAUAUAUAUAUCAAACUUCAUUAGAUUUGUAUAUUUAUCACCUAAAUUGCAAAUGUAUAGUGUCGUUCCUUCUAUGUAUGGACUAAAUGGUGAAUUACAUACUUCUUUAACAUAUUUAAUUGAGGUUUUCUUGGCCCUGUUCAAAUGUUUUUAAACAGCCUACAAUACAGCGUUGACCUUUGUUUACCAUUUAAAUGCUGUUCAAACAGGUUAGAUAUAACGGUGGUUGCGACUGAAUGCCGAGGCAUGCAUUUCUACAAGGUGGUUUAUUAACUAGGGUCCACUCCUUCAUAUGUACCCACAUAUAUACAAGGUGGUUUUUUAACGAUAGGAAUAACUACACCUGGGAGUAGGAAAAAUGCACCAUAUAUAUAUGUCAAACUUCAACUAUAUAUUAGAACCAUUUGAGACUUUCUGAUUGGUGUCCUUCGCAAAUAUAACCUCAUGGUAUGGCUUAUAUGACAGAACAUCCAUUAGAUGUGUGUGAAAGAGAGGACGCUACACCUGCUGAGUGAGGAUGCUGAUUGAAUUGCUGCUGCAUAUAUAUUGGUUUCGAUGAAUUGCCAUAAGCGGAUAUGUGGCCCAUGCACUCCUGUUGCACCAUUCAUGUGUCCAUCUGAUAAACCAUAUGCAGAUGAGUUGUCCAGCAUGUCUGAAUGUAUUCCAGAAUUAUUGUGGCCUAUGCUGAAUCUGAUUGCAAUUUUGGUUGCUAGAAAAUUGGAUCUGGAUCCGGAGCUGAAUCCUGGAGUUGGGAUCCUGUUGAUUACUGAAUCUGGAGCUGCACAUUCUGUUGAUUACUGAAUCCUGGAGUUGGGAUCAUGUCUCAUGUGAGCUGAACCAACUGAACCCGGCCCAUCGUAGAUUGUACGUUAUUUGUGGUAGAUUUUGUGGAAUGCCAGAAUUUAAAUGCUGGUAGCCAUUGGACCUGUGUGGAGGAAUUAAGAGUGGGUUACUAUAAAAACAAAAUGUUAUUCUUUUACAAUUUUUUGUUAAUACACAUGGCUCUGUUCCUGAUGCAGCAUUUCCUAUAUAUAGACUUGAUGAAACAUUUCCUGAUGAAGCUUUCUUUUUCUUAACAGGUCAGUGGAGGUGACGUUUAGUACGAAAUGAGGACACAUGUCACUUAUCUGCUGCGAAUACUGCCGUCGGACAAAAAAACUUAUAACUUUUUGUGCAAUCAGCAAUUACUAAUAUGCUGCUCGCGAUGAAUGAUGUGUGUAUGCUACUUUUGGACCUGUGGUAUCUAAGGCUGCCAACCAUAAUGUUUUGGCAAACACAAAUCCGUGUGGCUAAACAAAAAUCUUGAUGCAUGUUGUAUGAUCCAGCUAACAUCAAUGCCGCUUUAUUGUAAAUGUUUAUGUUUUUACUAUAUGACUUACUAUAUGUGUUGAUUAUAUUGCAAAUAUUUUUAUCUCCUCCCAUUCUCGGCGCCUCCUGUUCUAGUUUGUACAUAAUGAAGGGUAGACUCACAGCAUAGCUGGUGCAAGGGAAAAAAUGUUGCAUAAAAUAUGUCAUUUCCAUUUUUUGAGGAAACAUGUCAACAUUGACAUUUGCUGAAGUUAGGUAUACAUCUAUUUGAAUCAACAGUUACAGUUCAACAUAUACUCCUUCCGCUCUAGCUUGUUGCGUGUCCUACUUUUUUUCUAAAUCACUUUUCUCUAAAUUGACAUACUCCCUAGAAAAUCUAUCCAAAUUUUGAAGAUCAAAUUUGUUCCAUUGAAUUAUUCAUGACAUCUAUCUUGGUAUUGCUUUUUAAUAAUCAGAAUAUAUUUUGAUCUCAACAAAAGUUAUACACGAUUCUUUUUAGACAAUACUAAAGCAAAUUGUAAUCAAGAACACUUGAGGUUCGCACCAAUUGCCACAUUUAGAUAUAAGCAUUCUAAUUUUGGUCAUCCUAUGUGUGUGCAUUCAUCUAAGCAUUCUAGGAUUUCAAUUAGUCUAUAUCUUGUAGUAUUUGUUCCUUCAUUGUCAAUUCACUUCUCAUCUAACUACUAUGAUUGUUUAACCAGUAGAACAUAACUACGACAAUAUCCAUUUAUAAAGACUUUGAUAGCAAACUUUACAUAUUCAUAUCAUGUUAAGGUUGUCACAUGUGUAAAGGUGAAGAGAUCAUGCAUGUCAUUCCACGUAGAUGAAAAAAUUCCUAUAUAAAAAUGACACCUUUUCUUGUAGGUAGUGGAAAGUACCUUUCCAGCAAAGAUCAUAUAUAUAAUCCGAUAAAGCUGAAAACUAAAUGUCGAAAUCGAGUAGAUGCCAUAUCAUCUAUACCUUAUCUCUUGUUUGGAAAAAAGACAAAACCAAAAAAUAUUUAUGAGGUCUCACUUGUAUAAAUAGCUCCCAAAUCAGUAGUUAAUCCAUCACCUAUAAUAUUUUGAGCAUUCAGAAACACACCAAGCGAAGCACAUUAGCAACAACCUAACAACAAUGGCUACCAAGAUAUUAUCCCUCCUUGCGCUUCUUGCGCUUUUUGCGAGCGCAACAAAUGCGUUCAUUAUUCCACAAUGCUCACUUGCUCCAAGUUCCAUUAUUACACAGUUCCUCCCACCAGUUACUUCAAUGGGCUUCGAACACCCAGCUGUGCAAGCCUAUAGGCUACAACAAGCAAUUGCGGCGAGCGUCUUACAACAACCAAUUUCCCAGUUGCAACAACAAUCCUUGGCACAUCUAACAAUACAAACCAUCGCAACGCAACAGCAACAACAAUUCCUACCAGCACUGAGCCACCUAGCCAUGGUGAACCCUGCCGCCUACUUGCAACAGCAGUUGCUUGCAUCAAACCCACUUGCUCUGGCAAACGUAGUUGCAAACCAGCCACAACAACAGCUGCAACAGUUUCUGCCAGCGCUCAGUCAACUAGCCAUGGUGAACCCUGCCGCCUACCUACAACAGCAACAACUGCUUUCAUCUAGCCCGCUCGCUGUGGCCAAUGCACCUACAUACCUGCAACAACAAUUGUUGCAACAGAUUGUACCAGCUCUGACUCAGCUAGUUGUGGCAAACCCUGCUGCCUACUUGCAACAGCUGCUUCCAUUCAACCAACUGACUAUGUCGAACUCUGCUGCGUACCUACAACAGCGACAACAGUUACUUAAUCCACUAGCAGUGGCUAACCCAUUGGUCGCUGCCUUCCUACAGCAGCAACAAUUGCUGCCAUACAACCAGUUCUCUUUGAUAAACCCUGUCUUGUCGAGGCAGCAACCCAUCGUUGGAGGUGCCAUCUUUUAGAUUACAUAUGAGAUGUACUCGAUAAUGGUGCCCUCAUUCCGGCAUGUGUUUCCUAGAAAUAAUCAAUAUAUUGAUUGAGAUUUAUCUCAAUAUAUUUCUGAACUAUGUUCAUCAUAUAAAUAAUUGAAAACAUCAAAUCGUAAUUAUAAACUCAUGCUUGGUCAAUACAUAGACAAUGCGAUAUUACUUCAACAUCCCAAUGAUGUCCUAGCCCAACCUCUUGAAUGUUACUGUUUUAAUGUGUGAGGGUAUAUUUAUAAGAUAGACGUGACUACUCGCGCUUUUUUUAGUACAUACAUAUAUGGUAUGUUGAUUUGAUUAGUGAUGGACACAUGCUUUGACCAUGAAUAUUCAAAUGAGGUGUAUUUGCACGAAGCAAAACAUAAUAUAAGUUUAGGAGUAGACUUAUAACUGUGUCCAAACAUGCUCACACAAAUUCAUACCACAUUAUAAUUUUUUGGUAAAUAUUCCACACGUAUUUUUUACAAGAACCCAAAUUUUGCAGAUAAAUGCAGCAUUGUAGACAUGUAUAAUUCUUUGAAGCCCCUGAACUUAACAGCACCAAGGUCAUUAAAUCAACUGGACCCUAUGAGUAACAAUUUCAAUAUUGCAAACACCAAAUUAUAGAACUUAUUGGCUGAAAAAUUAUGAGCAAUGUGAAGUUUAAAUUAUUAUACCAUAAAUAUAUCAAAGAAUUUUUUUUGAGGAACGUAAAAAUUGCAUGGAAUGGGCUGCCCAACGUGCUAGCUCACUUCUAUGCUAGGUAUCAUUACCAAAGAUGGGAAUGUUGCUAAUGAACGCCAAACCCACUCAUAUAAUAUUUAUAUUUGGGUUGUUUAGUUGUAAAAGUGAAGACCCAAGAUAAAAGUACCAAUUGUUCAAUGACAUUCGAUUAUUUUGUUCGGGGAGCACUUGGUGCGUCAUUUGGACUCAUAUCUUAGUCCAAUAGAUUGCAUUUUCCUUCAAUGUGUAGAAUCCGACAAAGUGCAUGUUCUAAAAUUGUAAAUCUAACUAAAUUAGAAAGCUUGUUACUAAUUUGAUGGUUUAUUAGGUGUACCUCAUAAAACUAGAACCAACAUAGCCUGCACUCACGUGUCAUAGAAAAUAGGAGUAUCCAAGCACAAUUUAUGUGAGCAUCCAUCACACAAAUUAUAUAUAGACUGAUAUAAUUAAUUCCUUCAAAAAUAAAAAAGGAAAAAAUAAAGUGUUUUUUUGAUAUUGCAGGAUAUCUCCUUUAACUAAUGAGGAGUACUAAAAAGAUGUUGCACUUUUGGGUGGCGAGAAUUCCUCAAUCAUAACUUUGACAUAAUUUUAAUCCGGAUCACAUAUAUCAUCAUAUCUUAAUUAUUAAAUUAAUAUGUGUCGGAGAGGGAAUUCUCCGGCCGGGUGGCGGAAUGCACCCGCCCUAAAUCCUAAGAUGAGGAAGGGGCUUAAGUGUUUUGCCUGUCUUGCUAAGCGAUCACCGAGCACACGAACACGCGAGGAUUUAGAGUGGUUCGGGCCGCCAGAGCGUAAUACCCUACUCCACUGUGUGUUGGAUUGCUGUGGAAGCUUGAGAGCUGAGAGUCUGAGUCCUUUGUCUGUGUUGCGUGCCCUCCCUUUUAUAGCUCAAGGGGGGCAUGUACAAGGACACUGAACCCCGACAUGUGGGCCUAGGGACAUAACAGAUGGAAUACUCGGAGCAACUAAUAUCAGUCACCUUGUGCAAUCAUCCUGUGCCCCGAUAUCCGCCGCUAGAGUAGCAUUGGCGUGCAGCAGAAGGUUCCCCGGCAUCGUACAAGUCAUGAUGGCCAUCGCACGCGCGCUGCGGUAUGGGCGUACUGCCCACUGUCUGAUUGGACAGGCACGUCGCCUGUAGAGUGGUCUGGUCGUCGCCUGUCAUCAGAGUGGACGGGGCACAUUAAAUGCCGAGACGGCACAUCGCCUGUCAGCAGGGCGGACAGGCGGCGCGUCCUCUCCGCAAUAAAUGUAGAGAUCACGUGGCUCAAAGGCCUUACGUCAGGCUCCACCCGCCGGCUUACGUCACGAGCAAUAGGCCGCGUGGCAGCAUUAGGUCCUCGCCUGAGCGGGGAGCGGAAGUACACCAGGCAAGACCCUGACAAGUGUCUACGCCGGACCCCUGUACGUCCUUGACUUAGGCCAGGGUAUUCUUCAUCCCGGGAUCUUGCUGUGGGUGGCUUGGACCUCACUUAGAGGGGUCCAGGUCCCAUCCAAGGGAACAUGGAGGUCCUGGGUCGUACCCGGAGGUCCGAGUCAUGUAUGCUGGGGUCCGACACUUUCCCAUGGGGGUCCGGAUUCACUGACGAUAUCACGGUAUGUGUUACCUUCUCUGGUCACUUGGCGGCCCCGGAGUCGCCCACGUGGUGGGGUCGGGCGUUGUUUACCGUGCGUCUAGAGAUAGACGUGCGGGUACCGCGCCUUCAUACUAUAGUAAGGGGUACUCCUGUUCCAGGGUAUCGACAAUAUGGUUCCAUCAUCGUAUUAUUAAUUCAAUCUAAUAUAACCAUCAGAUCUUAAUUAUUAAAUUAAUCUGGAGUGUACAUUAGAUUAUCAAACCAAAUCAACCCGACAUAACCAUCAAAUGUUCCGCUAUGCACCUUAAGCGCAUGGUCUAGGGAUUAAUCAUCCGGAAUAACCAUCCGAUCUUCUAGUAAGCAUAGUAAGUGUAUGGUUCACGACUUCAUCAUCCAGAAUAACCAUCAGAUUUUCCGGUGUGCACUGAAAGCAAAUGAUCCGCGGUUUUGGUAGGUGAAACGUUGUUAGGUGAAUGCGGAUGUUGGCUGUUGUUGCACGUGCGAACUGUUGUGUGGAAGCUGCUGGGUCCUCCUCUAUUGUGCGUGGCUUGUGGCGGGCUUGGACUACUCUCAUGGCUUCGGCGCUUGGAACUGCUCGUCUGUCCGGUCCUGCGUGCAUCUCUCUCUCCUGGCUGGAGGUGUGGUGGCCUGGCGGCUUCUCUGUGUUUUUCUUUUUAUGAUGACUUCUCGUGUUGGCUAGGGUUGGCGUUAGGGGCUCGGUCAGUUAUGCUCCCUCAGCUUUUAUAGGCAGCGCACCAUAGCAGGCAGAGCAGAGAUAAAGAUUCCAAUUGCAUCCAUCUACAAACAAGGCUCUCGGCGGAAGGGAUAAAAGCAUGCAUCGCAAUUACUGCUGCUCUGCUGCAACCUUGGCUCUCGUCAAUUGGAUGACCAAAAGAUGCCAACGUCUAAGAUCUUUUCUUUGUGCAGCUGCCUGUUUGUCACCAACACAAAAUUGUAGGUGCCUGUUUGUCACCAAUUAUCCUCUACCACAAAGAACUACAAUAGUGAUGGAGGAUCCGAUCCAGCACAGAUCCACUAUAAUGCAUAGUGGGUGAUGCAUGCCUAAUGGUGGUUGUUUAGUGUUAGUUUGGGCAUGUUGGAACUAAGCAAUUGUCGAUGCCAUACACUAGAAGUGAAGAAUGUUGUUAGCGUUAGGAGUAGAGGUGUCAAUGGGGACCGAUACCCGUUAAGCCAUGGAGAAUUUCUCUAUUAGAUUUAGGGUAUGGGAAGAUUUUAAUUUCCAUUUGCUGAAGUUAGGUAUACAUCUAUUUGAAUCAACAGUUACAGUUCAACAGAAACUCCUUCCGCUAUAGUUUGUUGCAUGUCCUACCUUUUUCCUAAACUAUUUUCCCUAAAUUGACAUACUCUCUAGAAAAUCUAUCCAAAUUUUGAAGAUCAAAUCUGUUCCAUUGAACUAUUCAUGACAUAUAUCUUGGUAUUGCUUUUUGUCAUCAGAAUAUAUUUUGAACUCAGUAAAAGUUAUACACGAUUUUUUUAGACAAUACUAAAGCAAGUUGUAAUCAAGAACACUUGAGGUGUGCGCCAAUUGCCACAUUUAGAUAUAAUCAUUAUAAUUUUGGUCAUCCUAUAUGUGUGCAUUCAUCUAUGCAUUCUAGGAUUUCAAUUAGUCUCAAUCUUGUAGUAUUUGUUCCUUCAUUGUCAAAUCACUUCUCAUCUAACUACUAUGCUUUUUUAACCAUCAGAACGUAACUCCAACAGUAUCCAUUUAUAAAGGUUUUGAUAGCAAACUUUACAUAUUCAUAUCAUGUUAAGGUUGUCACAUGUGUAAAGGUGAAGAGAUCAUGCAUGUCAUUCCACGUAGAUGAAAAGAAUUCCUAUAUAAAAUGACACCUUUUCUUGUAGGUAGUGGAAAGUAUCUUUCCAGCAAAGACCAUAUAAUCCAAUAAAGUUGAUAACUAAAUGUCGAAAUAGAGUAGAUGCCAUAUCAUUUAUACCUUAUCUGUUGUUUGGAAAAAAAGACUAAAUCCAAAAUAUAUAUGACAUCUCACUUGUAUAAAUAGCUCCCAAAUCAGCAGUUAACCAUCACCCAUAAUAUUUUGAACAUUUAGAAACACACACCUAGCGAAGCGCACUAGCAACGACCUAACAACAAUGGCUACCAAGAUAUUAGCCCUUCUUGCGCUUCUUGCCCUUUUUGUGAGCGCAACAAAUGCGUUCAUUAUUUCACAAUGCUCACUUGCUCCUAGUGCCAUUAUUCCACAAUUCCUCCCACCAGUUACUUCAAUGGGCUUCGAACACCCAGCUGUGCAUGCCUACAGGCUACAACAAGCGCUUGCGGCGAGCGUCUUACAACAACCAAUUGCCCAAUUACAGCAACAAUCCUUGGCACAUCUAACAAUACAAACCAUCGCAACGCAACAGCAACAACAGUUCCUACCAGCACUGAGCCACCUAGCCAUGGUGAACCCUGCCGCCUACUUGCAACAGCAACUGCUUGCAUCCAACCCACUUGCUCUGGCAAACGUAGUUGCACACCAGCAACAACAACAGCUGCAACAGUUUCUGCCAGCGCUCAGUCAACUAGCCAUGGUGAACCCUGCCGCCUACCUACAACAGCAACAACUGCUUUCAUCUACCCCGCUCGUUCUGGCCAAUGCACCUACAUACCUGCAACAACAAUUGUUGCAAUAGAAUCUACCAGCUCUGACUCAGCUAGCUAUGGCAAACCCUGCUGCCUACUUGCAACAGCUGCUUCCAUUCAACCAACUGAUUGUGUCGAACUCUGUUGCGUACCUACAACAACGACAAUAGUUACUUAAUCCACUAGCAGUGGCUACCCCAUUGGUCGCUGCCUUCCUACAGCAGCAACAAUUGCUGCCAUACAACCAGUUCUCUUUGAUGAACCCUGUCUUGUCGAGGCAGCAACCCAUCGUUGGAGGUGCCAUCUUUUAGAUUACAUAUGAGAUGUACUUGAUAAUGGCGCCCUCAUACCGGCAUGUGUUUCCUAGAAAUAAUCAAUAUAUUCAUUGAGAUUUAUCUCGA
This 34058-nucleotide long non-coding RNA is filed under the name Zea mays. RNAcentral describes it as "long non-coding RNA (ZMAY_LNC002145)". Lineage: Eukaryota; Viridiplantae; Streptophyta; Magnoliopsida; Poales; Poaceae. The record is from RNAcentral.